Molecule: ribosomal RNA, 443 nt
Filed under: uncultured bacterium
Lineage: Bacteria
Description: partial 16S ribosomal RNA
Rfam family: Bacterial small subunit ribosomal RNA
Source: RNAcentral
CCUACGGGAGGCAGCAGUGGGGAAUAUUGGGCAAUGGGCGCAAGCCUGACCCAGCAACGCCGCGUGAAGGAAGAAGGCCCUCGGGUUGUAAACUUCUUUUAUCAAGGACGAAACAAAUGACACUACUUGAUGAAUAAGCCACUGCUAACUACGUGCCAGCAGCCGCGGUAAUACGUAGGUGGCAAGCGUUAUCCGGAUUUACUGGGUGUAAGGGGCGUGUAGGCGGGACUGUAAGUCAGAUGUGAAAACCAGCGGCUCAACCCAUGUACUGCAUUGGAAACUGUAGUUCUUGAGUGUUGGAGAGGUAGGCGGAAUUCCGGGUGUAGCGGUGAAAUGCGGAGAUAUAAGGAGGAACACCAGUGGCGAAGGCGGCCUACUGGACAAUAACUGACGCUGAGGCGCGAAAGCGUGGGGAGCAAACAGGAUUAGAUACCCCAGUAGUC